AAGUCGUAACAAGGUUUCCGUAGGUGAACCUGCGGAAGGAUCAUUAACGAGUCCAGGCGGGCGACGCCCCGGCGCCGCCCGCCCACCUCACCACCCGUGUCUACACUACCCCGUUGCUUCGGCGGUUUUCGCGGCAUCGCGGCCGCCGAAGACCCCCUCGAACUCUGCCUGGAAGGUUGCAGUCUGAGCGAUAAACAAAACAAACAAAACUUUCAACAACGGAUCUCUUGGUUCCG
Molecule: unclassified non-coding RNA, 236 nt
Filed under: air metagenome
Description: partial contains small subunit ribosomal RNA, internal transcribed spacer 1, and 5.8S ribosomal RNA
Rfam family: Eukaryotic small subunit ribosomal RNA (bases 1-46)
Source: RNAcentral